GACAGAGGGUGCAAACGUUGUUCGGAAUUACUGGGCGUAAAGCGCGUGUAGGCGGCAACGCAAGUCGGAUGUGAAAGCCCAUGGCUCAACCAUGGAAGUGCACCCGAAACUGCGUUGCUAGAGUCUCGGAGAGGAAGGUGGAAUGCUUGGUGUAGAGGUGAAAUUCGUAGAUAUCAAGCGGAACACCGGUGGCGAAGGCGGCCUUCUGGACGAGUACUGACGCUGAGGUGCGAAAGCGUGGGGAGCAAACAGG
RNAcentral lists this ribosomal RNA (253 nucleotides) under uncultured bacterium. RNAcentral describes it as "partial 16S ribosomal RNA". It matches the Rfam family "Bacterial small subunit ribosomal RNA", at positions 524 to 776 of the family's 1533-position model. The record is from RNAcentral.